UACGUAGGUGACAAGCGUUGUCCGGAUUUACUGGGCGUAAAGAGCGCGCAGGCGGUCGUUCAAGUCGAGUGUGAAAGCCCCCGGCUCAACUGGGGAGGGUCAUUCGAUACUGAUCGACUCGAAGGCAGGAGAGGGUAGUGGAAUUCCCGGUGUAGUGGUGAAAUGCGUAGAUAUCGGGAGGAACACCAGUGGCGAAGGCGACUACCUGCCUGUUCUUGACACUGAGGCGCGAAAGCUAGGGGAGCAAACGGG
Molecule: ribosomal RNA, 252 nt
Filed under: uncultured bacterium
Lineage: Bacteria
Description: partial 16S ribosomal RNA
Rfam family: Bacterial small subunit ribosomal RNA
Source: RNAcentral